ACGGAAGGCAGCAGUGGGGAAUAUUGGGCAAUGGGCGGAAGCCUGACCCAGCAACGCCGCGUGAGGGAAGAAGGUUUUCGGAUUGUAAACCUCUGUCCUUGGUGACGAAAAGAUGACGGUACUUUAGGAGGAAGCCCCGGCUAACUACGUGCCAGCAGCCGCGGUAAUACGUAGGGGGCGAGCGUUGUCCGGAAUGAUUGGGCGUAAAGGGCGCGUAGGCGGCUCGUUAAGUCUGGAGUGAAAGUCCUGCUUUCAAGGUGGGAAUUGCUUUGGAUACUGAUGAGCUCGAGUACAGGAGAGGAAAGCGGAAUUACCGGUGUAGCGGUGAAAUGCGUAGAGAUCGGUAGGAACACCAGUGGCGAAGGCGGCUUUCUGGACUGAAACUGACGCUGAGGCGCGAAAGCGUGGGGAGCAAACAGGAUUAGAUACCCUGGUA
This 436-nucleotide ribosomal RNA is filed under the name uncultured bacterium. RNAcentral describes it as "partial 16S ribosomal RNA". It matches the Rfam family "Bacterial small subunit ribosomal RNA", at positions 341 to 792 of the family's 1533-position model. The record is from RNAcentral.